UGGCAAUGAUGACCAACUUAGGACACCUUUGGAAUCAAACAUGAAACAAAUCUUUGCUCUGAGCCCC
Pseudophryne corroboree (corroboree frog) is the source of this 67-nucleotide small nucleolar RNA. RefSeq annotates it as small nucleolar RNA SNORD58. The transcript has a single exon. Lineage: Eukaryota; Metazoa; Chordata; Amphibia; Anura; Myobatrachidae. The record is from RefSeq and is a predicted model, not a curated record.